This is a small nuclear RNA of Loxodonta africana (African savanna elephant), 105 nucleotides long. The record is from Ensembl. Lineage: Eukaryota; Metazoa; Chordata; Mammalia; Proboscidea; Elephantidae.
GUGCUCACUUCGGCAGCACAUACUAAAAUCGGGACAAUAUGGAGAAGAUUAACACAGCCUCUGUGCAAGAAGGACAUGCAAAUUCGUGAAGUGUUCUAGACUUUU